Roridomyces roridus is the source of this 108-nucleotide non-coding RNA. The record is from the annotation of a GenBank genome assembly. NCBI's taxonomy places the organism in Eukaryota, Fungi, Basidiomycota, Agaricomycetes, Agaricales, Mycenaceae.
GGCGCGAUGGCCGAGUGGUUAAGGCGACAGAUUAGAAUAUCUUGGUGUACCAACUCACGCUAUAUCUGUUUCGGUUUCCGAGCGCAGGUUCAAGUCCUGCUCGCGUCG